UCAGGGUCGGCAUGCUUGCGGUCCUGAAUCGCGGUAAGCUGGGAAAUGCGUCGGAAUCCAGUGAAAACUCCACAACUUCGAUCGAACUCUUCUCUAUUUCCUCCCACUUUCUUAAAGCUAUCUGACCUUCUCUCUGCUCUUCCUUCUUCUCGGGGCCCCGUACUCCGACACUGCUUCCGGUGACGUCGCUUCCUCCUCUCCUGUUGCUUCAGCUACUCGCCGCUACGCGGCGCAACCGCUCAUUGUUGUUCUGGCACUCGCCGAAUCACGGCGCAGCCUCCUGGUUGUGGUCUUCGCGGCGUACUCGACCGGUUGCGGUCGUACAAGGGUCCCACUCAUACCGGUUCUUGUCGUCCUGUCCUCUGUCGUGGUUGGUUGCGUCCUACGACCUUCGGAAGUACCAUCGAGGGUGUCCGGAAUACCCGGAUGAGGCGCAGGUACGACGCGGGUAGACGUCCGGCUGUGGACUGGAUUCUGGGGGUGACUCGAUGGUUGCGGCGAGUCCCCGGUUGGUGUCCUCGACACGGUUGUUGCGAGGCGGUGCCGAACUGGCACUUAACGUGAGGUACGAGGGGUCCUGAUGUCCUUCAGCGGUCUCAAACACUCCUGGUUCCCGCUGGCACUAUCACUCACGGCCGUGGCCGUGCACUGACACUUCUUGGCGAAACAGUGGAUUUGUAGCGGUCCAACUGUUCGCUAUGACUCUUUCCGGGCAAUUGGACGAGUCUUGAGGAGUCCUUGGCGGUUGACGGUCUUCGUCUUUCCCCUCCUCUUUCCGCGCCUUUUCCCUGACCUUCCAACCUACCGUCAUGUCACCUCUCUACCGCCCACUGCCGACGAGGUCCUCUGGUGGUCGGUUUCGGAAGCUUCUGCUGGCUGCGUUCUUGGUGGACGUCACUUGCUGGGUCGUUUACCGGAGACAAAACACUUGACACGCGAACACUUCCCAACUUUUACAUUAAACGGAAAACAAAUCGCGUAAAUCGCGGUAACCUUCACGAGUGAGGUUCCGAACGGUUACACUCUCCCCCAGCUCGGGUAAAAAAAAUACUUGUAUGCAAGGAUUUUUUUUUUUACACAACAAAUAUUUUUUUAGAAAAAAUUGCAUGUUGAAACCACGUCAAAGCGGCCUAGCUGAACCUUCCAAACUCAAAAUAAUAUCUACAGGACUGAUAAUCAGCGUCACACUGUAGCUCAUGAAAUAUUUCACACCCCAUUUCUUGAUUCCGACAGCCAAUAUUCUAUGAAAAACAUGCGAAAUUUGGACAGUAUUGUGAUCUGAGUUAUCGGGGUCAUAAGGCAUCAACGAAGGAAAUCCUUCUCCGCGCUGUUUAGCAGGACGAACCUGUGUACUGGCCAUCAACGUAUAUUUCAACUCCAGCCUCCAGCGAUAAACUCAUUGAUUUAUACUGUCACAAAUCUCACCAAAAUCCAAAAAGGAACAAACUAAAAUUCAACAAACUACUAUUUACAAGACAAACUAAUAAAUAAAUAAAUAAAUAACAAAGCUACUCAUGCACAAAUAACAAAUUAAAAUUAAAUCAUGCAAAUAAAUAAUUUAAAAAAACAAAAACUACGAACUCCGGAGCAUGCCUAUUUACAAAAACAGAGUCAUUCGCGGAUUGUGCAUGAAACAUUUCAUCGUUGUCAGAGUUGUUUUAAGCACUCUAGUACUUCUUUUCUACUGUCAUUUCAUCUGUGUACGUGCGUAUCUGACAUCGGCUGUCAAACGAUAUUGUGUUAUUGUGGAACAAACGUGGUGCUUUCCAAUUGAAGUUCAAUUCUGAAAAUUUCAGGUUUUGGACACUUUAAAGGCCUUUACUAAUUAAAAUUUGUUGUUUUCUCAACGCAGAAAAUCAAUGGCCAUAAAAUUCAAUGCGGAGUUUAGCUCUAAAGUGUCCUUCCUGGGAUUUUUGGAGUUGUUCUUUCUCUGGUAAAGUUAAAUGUUAUGAGGAAAAUUAUUAUGCGGUUCAAGGUACUAAACACCUGCCACCUUCACGACUGAUUCACCAACUCUAGCGCAAUACACGGUUUGAAGAACUUUUACAACCAUGUAUGCAGCUGGCUUACAGUACGUGCUCAAUUUUGAGAACUGGCUCACCAUCUCUACGGAUACCUGAGACCAGACUCGAUUUUUGCAAUCCUCGUUGCGUAAACUUCUAACAAACAUCAACUUUUUUUUGUUCCGGAACUUCAACUUUAACAACAUUUGCCAACUCUGGGCAUAAAAUUGGGUCCUGCCUGCUGCAGUUUUGACCCGGAGUCCUGGAUGCACCCAACUACGUUAGCAUGGAGCUGUAAUGUACAGUAUUGGACGACGUAGCACUCUAAAAGAAUUGUUUACAGAGGAAACUAUUAGGCCGAUAACAUCGCACCUUACUCCAACAACGCGCGCUCCUUCAACUUCUUUAACUCACCAUCAGCUCUGCUCUGUACUAAAUCCAGCUGAAGUCUUCACUGAUGAACCUGGAACAUCCGCUGAACAGCAUGCAACCAGUUCGGUGUUCUACGAUCAACGUGUACUAACAACAGAAUCACGUGUCGCGUUAUUUGAAUUGUAAUUUUAUAAAAUUUAAAAAGAACUAAGUACGGAAGCAGAUUUUAAACUGAAAAUCAAUUUGUUAUUCUAGUUAGGGCAUUCCGCCUUGUUUUAACGACUAAAUCGUAAUUGUAAAAUCCUAGGUAGUUGUGAAAGCGCGAUAAAAUUUGUUAAAUUACUAGAUUUGCACAUUCUCAAGUGAGAAAUUGAUUAGAAAAACCUAUAAAUUUGUUCAUGCAUCCUAAAUAUGCAGAAAAUAACUGUAAAUUGAAAAAAUCUCUAGUAUUGUUAUAGUUUUAGGUUUAUUCUUGAAGUAAAUGACUAGUUUGCUGGGUGUUUUAUUUGACCAACGCUGAAAGAUAACGCAAUUCAUACACAGGUGAAGUGAUUGCUCCAUACAAACUCAAUCAAUGAACUCAUUAAUGGUCAACUCCGACCUUCUUUUGUCAAUUGCCCUUUUCAUACAAAUUUGGACGUCAGAACCCCUCAAUGGACGAACGAAAUCGUUCAAUCGCAGCGUGUAAAGUCAAAAUUAUCCAUCACACAAGUGCGGAAAUUCAUUCAAGCUGGCGGGAUGUUUUCCCAGAGACGCCUGCGAUAACUGGUUCCUUCAAGCAAUUUUUCCCCAAGCUUAACCCUUGAAAACAGACUACAAGUCUAAUUUUUGUUGGGCGCCAAAGUGUAACUGUCGGGUUACCACCGGCUCAUGAGCGCUAUCGAGACUCCCUCAUGUAGCCUCAGGGUCGGCAUGCUUGCGGUCCUGAAUCGCGGUAAGCUGGGAAAUGCGUCGGAAUCCAGUGAAAACUCCACAACUUCGAUCGAACUCUUCUCUAUUUCCUCCCACUUUCUUAAAGCUAUCUGACCUUCUCUCUGCUCUUCCUUCUUCUCGGGGCCCCGUACUCCGACACUGCUUCCGGUGACGUCGCUUCCUCCUCUCCUGUUGCUUCAGCUACUCGCCGCUACGCGGCGCAACCGCUCAUUGUUGUUCUGGCACUCGCCGAAUCACGGCGCAGCCUCCUGGUUGUGGUCUUCGCGGCGUACUCGACCGGUUGCGGUCGUACAAGGGUCCCACUCAUACCGGUUCUUGUCGUCCUGUCCUCUGUCGUGGUUGGUUGCGUCCUACGACCUUCGGAAGUACCAUCGAGGGUGUCCGGAAUACCCGGAUGAGGCGCAGGUACGACGCGGGUAGACGUCCGGCUGUGGACUGGAUUCUGGGGGUGACUCGAUGGUUGCGGCGAGUCCCCGGUUGGUGUCCUCGACACGGUUGUUGCGAGGCGGUGCCGAACUGGCACUUAACGUGAGGUACGAGGGGUCCUGAUGUCCUUCAGCGGUCUCAAACACUCCUGGUUCCCGCUGGCACUAUCACUCACGGCCGUGGCCGUGCACUGACACUUCUUGGCGAAACAGUGGAUUUGUAGCGGUCCAACUGUUCGCUAUGACUCUUUCCGGGCAAUUGGACGAGUCUUGAGGAGUCCUUGGCGGUUGACGGUCUUCGUCUUUCCCCUCCUCUUUCCGCGCCUUUUCCCUGACCUUCCAACCUACCGUCAUGUCACCUCUCUACCACCCACUGCCGACGAGGUCCUCUGGUGGUCGGUUUCGGAAGCUUCUGCUGGCUGCGUUCUUGGUGGACGCCACUUGCUGGGUCGUUUACCGGAGACAAAACACUUGACACGCGAACACUUCCC
Culex pipiens pallens (northern house mosquito) is the source of this 4224-nucleotide long non-coding RNA. RefSeq lists it as uncharacterized. The transcript has 4 exons. The record is from RefSeq and is a predicted model, not a curated record. Lineage: Eukaryota; Metazoa; Arthropoda; Insecta; Diptera; Culicidae.